AAGGCUGAAAUUCGCCUUCAUGAAGCUGGAAUUGCUAGUAAUGGCAGGUCAGCAUACUGCCGUGAAUACGUUCCCGGGCCUUGUACACACCGCCCGUCACACCAUGAGAGUUGGGAAUACCCGAAGCCUGUGAGCUAACAUAUGAGGCAGCAGUCGAAGGUAGAAUCAAUGAUUGGGGUGAAGUCGUAACAAGGUAUC
RNAcentral lists this ribosomal RNA (198 nucleotides) under uncultured bacterium. Its description in RNAcentral is "partial 16S ribosomal RNA". It matches the Rfam family "Bacterial small subunit ribosomal RNA", at positions 1301 to 1500 of the family's 1533-position model. The record is from RNAcentral.